UAAAACUAAUUUAUGUGCAAUUGAUCACAUUUGCUAUGAAAUUAUAAACGAAUUUUGUUUACGUAGGUGGCCAUGAAUGACUUCUAGCGCUUGUUUCUAAUCAACUGGACAUUUGGCCAGUGUGAAAUCGGUACACACAAAGCAAUUAUACUCUUGUUUAUAUUUGAAUUAAAAAAAUAUUUUCAAUCUUUUGAGUCGAGUGUUCGUUUCUCUUUGGACAAUAAUCCCUCUGUUUGUGAGACAAUAUGAAGACCAAAGUGUUUCUGUUCCUAACAUUUGCACUAUGCAUGCUCGUGUCUCUAAUUAUGCCGGCUGUUAACGCGGAAGAUGGGGAAGGGGACGCGGCUGCUGAUGGCGCCGCUGAAGCGAAAGAAGAAGCGACCACUGCGGGCGCAGCCAUAAUCUCGUCAAACUUUGGAGCACAUUUGUGCACGAUGUUGCCUCUCAUGGCUUAUUUUUUCCGGUGUUACCACGCAUAAUGUGGCUUUGCUGCACGCUCAUAAACAUUUUGGCAUUUAAAUCUACCAUAUUUUACACCCCCUUCAAAUAUUACUGUUGUUUGAAAACUGUGAUGUAAAUUAAAGUUUGUAUUAAUAUUUGAUUUGAAAAUGAAAAAUUUUGGCGUUGGGUA
Dalotia coriaria is the source of this 631-nucleotide long non-coding RNA. RefSeq lists it as uncharacterized. Lineage: Eukaryota; Metazoa; Arthropoda; Insecta; Coleoptera; Staphylinidae. The record is from RefSeq and is a predicted model, not a curated record. The transcript has 2 exons.